GGGUUGCUUUCAGACAGCUGGCUUACCCCCACAAUCCAGGCAAAUGGACAGGUUGUCAAGCGUUCUGACAGCCUUUGGAUUCUGCAGUGGCAGACAAAUGAACCCAAAGCAGUUGGCUUGGAUAUUUGGCAUGCAGUGUUCCAGCAACUGUACCCUCCCCUGCAAGCCACUUUGUUGUUCACAUAAUUGUGCAGUAAGGAUUUGUAGGGAAAAAAAAUAAAGCUGGAAUUUGUUUACAGCCAGUGCAAUCCUGGUGAGCUCCUGUGGGAAACAGAAGAAAUGGCUGAGAGUUGUUUUCAGAGGAGAAGACAGCCUUUGGUUUAUGAGAAUCAGGACUCUGGACCUACAAAUAUCUGUCUUUUCCAGCCUCCAACCUGUUUCACAAGGAGCAGAUGCUAAGAGGCAGGACGUGGGACCUACAAAUAUCUGUCUUGAAUCCUGGUCUUGCAAACUUUAAGCCUGCAGCUUAUGUGAAGUUGUCACGUACAAAAAAACAGGUUGGUGGUUGUGAAUGGAGCAUGGGAAAGGGGUGUUUUUUGGUGGGCUACUGUGCCAAUCUCUGCUUUUUCUCUCAGAGCUAUUACCAAAACUCCUUCUUGCCUAUCCAUCUGAGCCUCUCUUUCCUGUCUCUGGCCCCCAUUUCAGGGAGCAGACCUGAAGGCAUUUCUCAUGAACUGAGGCAGGGUGAUUGAUUUAAAGAAUGCACCCAAGACCCAGUGGGUGGGGAGUCAGAGGGUUUUACUGUAUCGGGCUGGGCUACAUUGGUGUGAGCAGUCUGGGAGACUUUGAGAGGGAAAGAGUCCCCUCUGCAGGGCUCUGUGUUGGGCUUAGAGAGGGAGGAGGAACAGCAUCAAGCGGGCAGGGGUCUAAGGCCAGUACAACCCCAGAGGCUGUUGAGGGAAACAGGAGCAAGGGCUGAGAGUUCCUGUUGUUGGAAAUUACAAUAACUUUGGCUCGGGUCAUCAGUGUCAGAAAAUGAGACACGUGGACAAGGAGAAAUCUUGACAAGACUCUUUCCUCCUGCAGAAGGGCACGGGAGCUCCAAAAAGUGCAUGUGCUGAACAAACGACCCUCCCCUAUUUACCCCUAAGGCAGGUGAUACACCUGUCCCCUUCCCAUGGGUCAAGUCAGGGUGCACAUUCUUCCCGGUUGGCUAAUUUGAAACAAAUUGUUCCUGGGAGAAGAGGGAAAGGAGAGGGGUUGGGGUCGGGG
This 1212-nucleotide long non-coding RNA is filed under the name Sus scrofa (pig). RNAcentral's name for it is "lncRNA (ENSSSCG00050003338.1)". The record is from RNAcentral. Lineage: Eukaryota; Metazoa; Chordata; Mammalia; Artiodactyla; Suidae.